RNAcentral lists this ribosomal RNA (253 nucleotides) under uncultured bacterium. Its description in RNAcentral is "partial 16S ribosomal RNA". It matches the Rfam family "Bacterial small subunit ribosomal RNA", at positions 524 to 776 of the family's 1533-position model. The record is from RNAcentral.
UACGGAGGGGGCUAGCGUUGUUCGGAAUUACUGGGCGUAAAGCGCACGUAGGCGGCUUUGUAAGUUAGAGGUGAAAGCCCGGGGCUCAACUCCGGAAUUGCCUUUAAGGCUGCAUCGCUAGAAUUGUGGAGAGGUAAGUGGAAUUCCGAGUGUAGAGGUGAAAUUCGUAGAUAUUCGGAAGAACACCAGUGGCGAAGGCGGCUCACUGGCCCGUUACCGACGCUCAGGCGCGACAGCGUGGGGAGCAAACAGG